GAUGACAGCCACUCACCAGUUGAAAAGUGCUGUGACGUCUGUAGCAUAUGCUGGUCGAUCUCUUCUCCUGACUACCUUGUCAGCUUCAUCCAUGGUUGUGGACGUUGUUGAUCCUUCUGAUUCACUUGUUGACCUGAUGAUGAUUUCCUUGUCGAAUGCAUUACUUGGGAUGGAUGCCAAUGACCCACCUAAAACCUUAGCAACAAUGCAACUAAUUGGCUCCUUGUUCUCCAAUAUGGCUAUACUGGAAGAGACUAUGGACCAGUCCUCAAUCAUGCCGGGAUUUCACUUUUCAGAAUGGCUUGACGAGUUCUUGUUCCGCUUAUUU
RNAcentral lists this unclassified non-coding RNA (328 nucleotides) under Hevea brasiliensis (rubber tree). Lineage: Eukaryota; Viridiplantae; Streptophyta; Magnoliopsida; Malpighiales; Euphorbiaceae. The record is from RNAcentral.